AGUACCUGGAAAUGUUGUUGGAGUCAUUCCUGUUAUUGAAAGGAUAAUGAUACCUACCUUCAGGAGACUUUUAAAGAUUCACAAAGUCCUUUCAAGAUUCCUCAAGUGAUAAGGGGAAAGACAAGUUUUUUGCUCAAAUGUGAUGAUAUGAAGAGGAGGAAUUAUUUCCCCCUUGAAUGGACAAAAGGUAUAUGGCCCUGGGGAGUGCUCACUGAGUUCAUGCGGUUCCUUGCAAAUAA
This 239-nucleotide long non-coding RNA is filed under the name Anser brachyrhynchus (Pink-footed goose). RNAcentral's name for it is "lncRNA (ENSABRG00000022645.1)". Lineage: Eukaryota; Metazoa; Chordata; Aves; Anseriformes; Anatidae. The record is from RNAcentral.